Molecule: long non-coding RNA, 359 nt
Organism: Carassius carassius (crucian carp)
Lineage: Eukaryota; Metazoa; Chordata; Actinopteri; Cypriniformes; Cyprinidae
Exons: 3
Source: RefSeq, a predicted model, not a curated record
AGAAAACAGAGUAAAGAAGAGACACAUCAGAUGCAGAAAUAUGAAAGAAAAGCUUUAUUGGAAGAUUGAGAAACACUGCAGCAUCAGAGGCGUGAGAUGAUCAGAGAAAGGUUUAUAUAACAGACCAUCAUACACAUCUAACAUCCUUCAGCCAAAACCCUGAGGACUCCCACACACACCACUGAUCUAGAAUAGAGAACUGGACAGCUCAUGAAACAUCACCUAAUAUUAUCAGUCAGGCAUCUCUUCUUACUCUUGACCCCUGAGAUCAGUCAAAUCUGCCUCCAGCAGCUCCUGUAGAUGCAGGGUUGCAAAAUCCACACUUUUUCCAUUGAAUUGGGCUGCUUUUGAAACGUUGU